CUACCACCAUGUACAUCUUGCCCACUCUACUCGCUGCUUCUCUUUCUUCACCAGCAAAGUGCAAAUAAGAGUCCUGACUUUACAGAUGGGAAAACUGAGGACCAGAGAGGGAAAAGGAUCUGCUCAAAGUCAACAAACUUUGUAUUGCCUGUGCUAGCUGGAGAGCAAUGGAUCACUUAAAUGGCAGCUGUUAGCUCUCCUGCAGCUUAGCAUCUGGUUCUGACAGAUUAAGGAAGAUCAUGUUCCUGGGUCUGCUGGUGACUAGAGCUAAGUUGACAGAGAUGGAAACAAAGUCCUGUCAUGAAGGGCAGGAGGCUACCAGUGGAUAAAGCAUGGCACCUGGAUUAUCAUGAAGAGCACUUUCCCACUGAUUAUGAUCACAGGGC
Long non-coding RNA from Heterocephalus glaber (naked mole-rat), 386 nucleotides. NCBI's taxonomy places the organism in Eukaryota, Metazoa, Chordata, Mammalia, Rodentia, Bathyergidae. The record is from Ensembl.